GUGCCAGCAGCCGCGGUAAUACGAAGGUGGCAAGCGUUACUCGGAAUUACUAGGCGUAAAGGGCAGGUAGGUGGUUCGGUAAGUCUGUUGUGUAAGCUCCCGGCUUAACUGGGAGAGGUCAACGGAAACUACCGGACUUGAGUAUAGGAGAGGUUACUGGAAUUCCCGGUGUAGCGGUGAAAUGCGCAGAGAUCGGGAGGAACACCAAUGGCGAAAGCAGGUAACUGGACUAUUACUGACACUCAGCUGCGAAAGCUAGGGGAGCAAACAGGAUUAGAUACCCUCGUAGUCC
This 292-nucleotide ribosomal RNA is filed under the name uncultured bacterium. Its description in RNAcentral is "partial 16S ribosomal RNA". It matches the Rfam family "Bacterial small subunit ribosomal RNA", at positions 505 to 796 of the family's 1533-position model. The record is from RNAcentral.